Macrobrachium nipponense is the source of this 590-nucleotide long non-coding RNA. RefSeq lists it as uncharacterized. The record is from RefSeq and is a predicted model, not a curated record. The transcript is spliced from 2 exons. Lineage: Eukaryota; Metazoa; Arthropoda; Malacostraca; Decapoda; Palaemonidae.
CUUCCUCCAAAGUGGCAACAGUGAACACAAACAAGCAACAAUGAAGUUUCUGGUAAUUGUGCUUUUGACGGCCUCCGCUUGCGCUGCUGAGAUUGAGAAGCGAGAGGCGGAUCCAGGAUAUGGCUCUUAUCGUCCUUCGUAUGGCUCUGGUUAUAGUCAUCCCUAUGGGGUGCAUCCCCACUACAAGAGGUCUGCCGAUCCAGAACCAGAGCCUGAGGCUUCCUACCCUUCCGGACACUACCCUGUCUACCAAUCACAUGGCAGCCAUUAUGGAAAGAGGUCUACUGAUCCCUAUCCUUACCCUUAUCCCUAUCCCUACCCUUAUGCUGAGCCUUCCUAUGACUAUGGCUACCAAUAUCCUUCCUAUUACUCCGGUUAAGGAGAAGCUUUACCACUGACAUCCUUCAAGCAUAACUGUGUUAUUUCCUAUUGGUGCUGAUUUUGGAGUGUUUUGUGUACAGACUUACGAUCUGAAUUUAAAUAGCAAAAUACAUUUGGUUUAAAUUCCACUGACACGUAUGAUCAGAAAAUUAAACAUACGAAGAAAAAAGUAUUUGUGUGAAAAUAAAACUAACAAUUACAUAAAUGAA